GCAUUACUGGGGAGUCGCACGAUAAGACGAAACGGCCGUCCAGUGC
Schistosoma haematobium is the source of this 46-nucleotide non-coding RNA. Lineage: Eukaryota; Metazoa; Platyhelminthes; Trematoda; Strigeidida; Schistosomatidae. The record is from Rfam.